CACACCGCCGAUUACAUGGAGAGAGAACGAUGAGAGAGAUCAGAAAGGAGAGAGAGAACGGUGUGUGUCGGAACGGCGGCGUUGCCUAUCACUGGUGGUGUGGUGGUGACUAGAGAAAUUAUCAGUGUGUGGUGGUGCCGGAUUCACGGUGCGGUUCCGGUGGUGACGGAAUCAGGGUGCGGUUCCGGUGGUGAUUAGCGGCGUAGAGAAGAUGCUAGGGUUCCGGUGAAGGUCGGGCAAAAUUACGGUACCACGGGUGUCGGGAUCAACAUGAACAGACGACACCACGGGUGUCGGGAUCUCUGCCGGUGAGAGAUCUGAAAGUUUUAGGGUUCCGACGAGUCAGCUUAGCUCCGGUGAGAACCUGCUUUCCUGAACCAGGGAAGAUUGUUUUCGUUGUGUCAUUCAAUGGAUACUUCUUGCCAAGUUUUUAGAAGAGGAGGGAUGGUCAUCCGGCGGUAUGAUGGUGAGUUUGCGGGUUCCGGCGAGGCAGUGAUUGACCAAGAUAAUUUGAAAACUUUCUGUGGUCAUAAAGUAUAGAUGUGGAACUCCAGGAACUGCCAAGAAGAAAGGAAUAACAUGAUCAGGAACAUACAUUCAAGAACUGAAGUGUUCGUAGUAAUUAAGAUCGUCGUAGAGUAUUAUUGGCGACAUAUCAUGUGAUUACACCAAGAAUGAUUUGGUUUAGCAUGAUCGUGUUAUGAGUUGUGAUGUCAAACGUACACACCAAGAAUGAUUAAGUUUAGCAUCAUUGUGUUAUGAGUUGUGAUGUAAAGCGUACACACUAAGAAUGAUUGAUCCGGUUUAGCAAAGAAUGAUUUGGUUGAGUGCGCCGUAACGCGGCGCUGCG
This 850-nucleotide long non-coding RNA is filed under the name Helianthus annuus (common sunflower). Lineage: Eukaryota; Viridiplantae; Streptophyta; Magnoliopsida; Asterales; Asteraceae. The record is from RNAcentral.